GGUUGUGUAGUGUAGCGGUUAGCACAUUGGAUUUUGACGCUGUUUCCGAACAAGCUCGAAACUUUCCAGUAACCCCGGUUCGAAUCCGGGCACGACCU
This 98-nucleotide transfer RNA is filed under the name Dothideomycetidae sp. 11243. RNAcentral describes it as "fungal sp. No.11243 tRNA". It matches the Rfam family "tRNA". From Rfam's summary of the family: Transfer RNA (tRNA) molecules are approximately 80 nucleotides in length. Their secondary structure includes four short double-helical elements and three loops (D, anti-codon, and T loops). Lineage: Eukaryota; Fungi; Ascomycota; Dothideomycetes. The record is from Rfam by way of RNAcentral.